UACGGAGGGGGCAAGCGUUAUUCGGAAUUAUUGGGCGUAAAGGGCGCGUAGGCGGCCGAUCAAGUCGGGGGUGAAAGCCUGUGGCUCAACCACAGAAUUGCCUUCGAUACUGUUUGGCUUGAGACCGGAAGAGGUUAGUGGAACUGCGAGUGUAGAGGUGAAAUUCGUAGAUAUUCGCAAGAACACCAGUGGCGAAGGCGGCCUGCUGGGCAGUUGCUGACACUGAGGCGCGACAGCGUGGGGAGCAAACAGG
RNAcentral lists this ribosomal RNA (253 nucleotides) under uncultured bacterium. RNAcentral describes it as "partial 16S ribosomal RNA". It matches the Rfam family "Bacterial small subunit ribosomal RNA", at positions 524 to 776 of the family's 1533-position model. The record is from RNAcentral.